Molecule: ribosomal RNA, 460 nt
Filed under: uncultured bacterium
Lineage: Bacteria
Description: partial 16S ribosomal RNA
Rfam family: Bacterial small subunit ribosomal RNA
Source: RNAcentral
CCUACGGGAGGCAGCAGUGAGGAAUAUUGGUCAAUGGCCGUAAGGCUGAACCAGCCAAGUCGCGUGAAGGAAGAAGGAUCUAUGGUUUGUAAACUUCUUUUAUAGGGGAAUAAAGGUAUCCACGUGUGGCUAUUUGCAUGUACCCUAUGAAUAAGCAUCGGCUAACUCCGUGCCAGCAGCCGCGGUAAUACGGAGGAUGCGAGCGUUAUCCGGAUUUAUUGGGUUUAAAGGGUGCGUAGGUUGUUUUUUAAGUCAGCGGUGAAAGUUUGUGGCUCAACCAGAAAAUUGCCGUUGAAACUGGAAGACUUGAGUGUGUUUGAGGUAGGCGGAAUGCGUGGUGUAGCGGUGAAAUGCAUAGAUAUCACGCAGAACUCCGAUUGCGAAGGCAGCUUACUAAGCCAUAACUGACACUGAAGCACGAAAGCGUGGGGAUCAAACAGGAUUAGAUACCCCAGUAGUC